This 478-nucleotide ribosomal RNA is filed under the name uncultured bacterium. RNAcentral describes it as "partial 16S ribosomal RNA". It matches the Rfam family "Bacterial small subunit ribosomal RNA", at positions 28 to 523 of the family's 1533-position model. The record is from RNAcentral.
GAUGAACGCUGGCGGCGUGCUUAACACAUGCAAGUCGAACGGUAAGGCCCUUCGGGGUACACGAGUGGCGAACGGGUGAGUAACACGUGGGUGAUCUGCCCUGCACUUCGGGAUAAGCCUGGGAAACUGGGUCUAAUACCGGAUAGGACUCCGGACUGCAUGGUCUGGGGUGGGAAGCUUUUGCGGUGUGGGAUGGGCCCGCGGCCUAUCAGCUUGUUGGCGGGGUGAUGGCCUACCAAGGCGACGACGGGUAGCCGGCCUGAGAGGGUGACCGGCCACACUGGGACUGAGAUACGGCCCAGACUCCUACGGGAGGCAGCAGUGGGGAAUAUUGCACAAUGGGCGCAAGCCUGAUGCAGCGACGCCGCGUGAGGGAUGACGGCCUUCGGGUUGUAAACCUCUUUCAGCAUCGACGAAGCGAAAGUGACGGUAGGUGCAGAAGAAGGACCGGCCAGCUACGUGCCAGCCGCCGCCGUAA